Long non-coding RNA from Dermacentor silvarum, 1066 nucleotides. RefSeq lists it as uncharacterized. The transcript has 3 exons. The record is from RefSeq and is a predicted model, not a curated record. Lineage: Eukaryota; Metazoa; Arthropoda; Arachnida; Ixodida; Ixodidae.
UCGUUGCAUUUUGUGUUUUUUUCAUCACUUGUUCGACUUUCACCUGUACUAUGUUAAUUAGCAUCAUGCAUGGUGCUUGUAGGGUUUCAAUGGCUGUUAUGAUAUAGCGGUGGGUACAUAUUCCAAAAUACUGCUUUGAUUAGCAUAUGUAAUGCAUGGGACAAAAUUUCCUUAAUUUCUUUAUCGCUAUUGAUGUACAUGUGCACAUUUAUUGUCUUAUUAGUUAAUAAAAUGUGCUACAGACAAAGGUUCUGCAAUAUGGGAGUAUGAUUCUUUUUUUUACAAUUGUGUUUUGUACAAAACAUUGCUCAUCUUUUAAAUUGUGUCUUAUAUUUUACACAGUGCAUAUGCAAUUUGCACUAUAUUACAGUUGCAAACUUGGCGGGCCUCAUUUUCUUAUGUUUGUUGUAUUGCUCCUGGAAAUUAUUUACAGAAACAUAGCAUCAGGGCAUAUUACUUCAAUUCAGAUGUUUGCAGUAGUCCGCUUUGAAGUGGACAACACGGUCGCUGUUGUGCCAACUGGAUGGGUGGAUGGUGAUCAUUGUAUGUGGCCAGGCCAUUUACAUCCUAAAAACAUUGUGCAAGCUGCAAUGCGUGCAGACCCUCCAAAUGGAUCUUUCACUCGUUACAAGAUAGUCCUUCUUAGGCUGGAAUCCUCGUACGAAAAGGCACGUAGUUGGCUGCCACAGGCUGAGGACACUGACAACGUUCGUUCGUCUGGCGAUGAAGAAAGAGGCCGUGGGAAGCGAAAGAAAUUUCGCAGAAUAUAUUGGAGUGAUGAGAGUGAUGAGAGUGGUCUAGAAGACAUACCUUGCAAAUCGCAAAGGUAGGCAACGUUCUGACAGCCUGCUUUGUACUACCUUGGCAUACAACUUCUAGUAUGGCGUACUUGGGCAUGCAGACGUGCAUUUAUGAAAAGGUGAUGCAUUUUAAGAUUAAAAAUACCUUCUAUGAUUUAUAAUAGCAACUUGCUAAGAGUCUGGCAACUUAUUUUGCUUAAAGCUGGCUUCCUUUAAGCUUUUGACAUUUUGUGCGACUACUUCAAAUAAUACAGAACCCGCUGUGG